GUCUAUGACCAUAUCACCCUGAACACGCCCCAUCUCGUCUGGUCUCGGAAUCUAAGCAGGGUCUGUCCUACAUUGGAGAAAAUGAAGUUGGCAUAGUUC
This 99-nucleotide ribosomal RNA is filed under the name Erinaceus europaeus (western European hedgehog). Lineage: Eukaryota; Metazoa; Chordata; Mammalia; Eulipotyphla; Erinaceidae. The record is from RNAcentral.